CCGAAGCUGCGGCAUCAGGCGUAUCACACAUACGCCUUACGAUUAACACCUUGCGAAGCAAGGUGGUCAAGCGACUUACACGUUGAGGUGUGAGCAGGAGGGAUAAUCGAAGAGAGGAAUAUGUGUGAUACGUCUGUUGGGUAGGGGAGCGUUGUGUAAGCUGAAGAAGGUGGUUCGAGAGGGCUGCUGGAGGUAUCACAAGUGCGAAUGCUGACAUAAGUAACGAUAAAGCGGGUGAAAGGCCCGCUCGCCGGAAGACCAAGGUUUCCUGUCCAACGUUAAUCGGGGCAGGGUGAGUCGGCCCCUAAGGCGAGGCUGAGAAGCGUAGUCGAUGGGAAAUGGGUUAAUAUUCCCAUACUUGGAUAAACUGCGAUGUGGGGACGGAGCAGGUUAGGUUAGCGUACGGAUGGAAGAGUACGUUUAAGUUGGUAGGUGGGGUGUUUAGGCAAAUCCGGGCACCUGAUAACACUGAGAGAUGAUGACGAGGCACCAAGGUGCUGAAGUAACUGAUACCCAACUUCCAGGAAAAGCCACUAAGCUUCAGGUUUAUCUAAACCGUACUGGAAACCGACACAGGUGGUCAGGUAGAGAAUACUAAGGCGCUUGAGAGAACUCGGGUGAAGGAACUAGGCAAAAUAGCACCGUAACUUCGGGAGAAGGUGCGCUGGCGUAGUGUGAAGUUCUUCGCGAAUGGAGCAUGAACCAGUCGAAGCGACGAGCUGGCUGCAACUGUUUAAUAAAAACACAGCACUCUGCAAACACGAAAGUGGACGUAUAGGGUGUGAUGCCUGCCCGGUGCUGGAAGGUUAAUUGAUGGUGUCAUCGAAAGAGAAGCACCUGAUCGAAGCCCCAGUAAACGGCGGCCGUAACUAUAACGGUCCUAAGGUAGCGAAAUUCCUUGUCGGGUAAGUUCCGACCUGCACGAAUGGCAUAAUGAUGGCCAGGCUGUCUCCACCCGAGACUCAGUGAAAUUGAAAUCGCCGUGAAGAUGCGGUGUACCCGCGGCUAGACGGAAAGACCCCGUGAACCUUUACUAUAGCUUGACACUGAACCUUGAAUUUUAAUGUGUAGGAUAGGUGGGAGACUAAGAAGCGGUAACGCCAGUUAUCGUGGAGUCGAUGUUGAAAUACCACCCUUUAACGUUUGAUGUUCUAACGAGGCGCCUGGAACGGGUGUUCGGACAGUGUCUGGUGGGUAGUUUGACUGGGGCGGUCUCCUCCCAAAGCGUAACGGAGGAGCACGAAGGUUGGCUAAUGACGGUCGGACAUCGUCAGGUUAGUGCAAUGGUAGAAGCCAGCUUAACUGCGAGACGGACAAGUCGAGCAGGUACGAAAGUAGGUCAUAGUGAUCCGGUGGUUCUGAAUGGAAGGGCCAUCGCUCAACGGAUAAAAGGUACUCCGGGGAUAACAGGCUGAUACCGCCCAAGAGUUCAUAUCGACGGCGGUGUUUGGCACCUCGAUGUCGGCUCAUCACAUCCUGGGGCUGAAGUAGGUCCCAAGGGUAUGGCUGUUCGCCAUUUAAAGUGGUACGCGAGCUGGGUUUAGAACGUCGUGAGACAGUUCGGUCCCUAUCUGCCGUGGGCGUUGGAGGAUUGAGGGGGGUUGCUCCUAGUACGAGAGGACCGGAGUGAACGCACCGCUGGUGUUCCAGUUGUUUCGCCAGAAGCAU
RNAcentral lists this ribosomal RNA (1668 nucleotides) under Gallibacterium anatis IPDH697-78. RNAcentral describes it as "bacterial LSU rRNA". It matches the Rfam family "Bacterial large subunit ribosomal RNA", at positions 1194 to 2738 of the family's 2925-position model. Lineage: Bacteria; Pseudomonadati; Pseudomonadota; Gammaproteobacteria; Pasteurellales; Pasteurellaceae. The record is from RNAcentral.